RNAcentral lists this ribosomal RNA (492 nucleotides) under uncultured Actinomycetales bacterium. RNAcentral describes it as "partial 16S ribosomal RNA". The record is from RNAcentral. Lineage: Bacteria; Bacillati; Actinomycetota; Actinomycetes; Actinomycetales.
CACGUAGUUGGCCGGCGCUUCUUCUGCGGGUACCGUCACUCUCGCUUCGUCCCCGCUGAAAGAGGUUUACAACCCGAAGGCCGUCAUCCCUCACGCGGCGUUGCUGCGUCAGGCUUUCGCCCAUUGCGCAAAGAUUCCCCCACUGCUGCCUCCCGUAGGAGUCUGGGCCGUGUCUCAGUCCCAGUGUGGCCGGUCGCCCUCUCAGGCCGGCUACCCGUCACAGCCUUGGUAGGCCAUUACCCCGACCAACAAGCUGAUAGGCCGCGAGCCCAUCCCUAGCCGGUCAAAGACCUUUCCACCCCCGACCCAUGCGGGCAGAAGUCAUAUCCGGUAUUAGACCCAGUUUCCCAGGCUUAUCCCAGAGCUAGGGGCAGGUUACUCACGUGUUACUCACCCGUUCGCCGCUCGAGCACCCCCGAAGGGGCCUUUCCGCACGACUUGCAUGUGUUAAGCACGCCGCCAGCGUUCGUCCUCGAGCUAGGAUCAAACUAC